RNAcentral lists this ribosomal RNA (541 nucleotides) under uncultured Rhodocyclaceae bacterium. RNAcentral's name for it is "bacterial SSU rRNA". It matches the Rfam family "Bacterial small subunit ribosomal RNA", at positions 996 to 1533 of the family's 1533-position model. The record is from RNAcentral. Lineage: Bacteria; Pseudomonadati; Pseudomonadota; Betaproteobacteria; Rhodocyclales; Rhodocyclaceae.
UCCUGCUGAGAGGUGGGAGUGCUCGAAAGAGAACCUGAACACAGGUGCUGCAUGGCUGUCGUCAGCUCGUGUCGUGAGAUGUUGGGUUAAGUCCCGCAACGAGCGCAACCCUUGUCAUUAGUUGCCAUCAUUCAGUUGGGCACUCUAAUGAGACUGCCGGUGACAAACCGGAGGAAGGUGGGGAUGACGUCAAGUCCUCAUGGCCCUUAUGGGUAGGGCUUCACACGUCAUACAAUGGUCGGUACAGAGGGUUGCCAAGCCGCGAGGUGGAGCCAAUCCCAGAAAGCCGAUCGUAGUCCGGAUCGGAGUCUGCAACUCGACUCCGUGAAGUCGGAAUCGCUAGUAAUCGUGGAUCAGCAUGCCACGGUGAAUACGUUCCCGGGUCUUGUACACACCGCCCGUCACACCAUGGGAGUGGGUUUCACCAGAAGUAGGUAGCCUAACCGCAAGGAGGGCGCUUACCACGGUGGGAUUCAUGACUGGGGUGAAGUCGUAACAAGGUAGCCGUAGGGGAACCUGCGGCUGGAUCACCUCCUUUAUG